UCGGGGGUCGAAAGAUCUCGAGAUUCGCCCGCACUUCGGCCCUCUGGUUCACGUCAUUUGUCUUCCGCUCUUUGACAAUUGAGAUGAUGGAUGUGCUGUACAUGGCCGCAUGGCGUGUACAGGGUGUGAGGAAUCAACACCGAAUUAUUUGCAUAUGUAUCUGCAUCAAAACGAAUUGAGAUCAAACGCAAUAAGGCACACGGCGGAUGCCUUGGCAUCGAGAGGCGAUGAAGGACGUGGUAAGCUGCGAUAAGUCCGGGGGAGUUGCACACGAACUGUGAUCCCGGAAUGUCCGAAUGGGGAAACCC
RNAcentral lists this unclassified non-coding RNA (308 nucleotides) under uncultured bacterium. RNAcentral describes it as "partial 16S-23S ribosomal RNA intergenic spacer". The stretch from base 180 to 308 matches the Rfam family "Bacterial large subunit ribosomal RNA", at positions 1 to 129 of the family's 2925-position model. The record is from RNAcentral.